GUUUUUAUAGUGUAAGGCAAACAUAUUGUUUUUUCAAGACAAAGAUAAAAAUUUUUAAAAACA
RNAcentral lists this transfer RNA (63 nucleotides) under Grandidierella japonica. Its description in RNAcentral is "tRNA-Glu". Lineage: Eukaryota; Metazoa; Arthropoda; Malacostraca; Amphipoda; Corophiidae. The record is from RNAcentral.